This 468-nucleotide ribosomal RNA is filed under the name uncultured bacterium. RNAcentral describes it as "partial 16S ribosomal RNA". It matches the Rfam family "Bacterial small subunit ribosomal RNA", at positions 28 to 507 of the family's 1533-position model. The record is from RNAcentral.
GACGAACGCUGGCGGCGUGCUUAACACAUGCAAGUCGAACGGACAGGCCCUGCUUUUGUGGGGUUCUCGAGUGGCGAACGGGUGAGUAACACGCGAGUAACCUGUCCUUGACUUUGGGAUAACUUUAGGAGAAUGGGGCUAAAACCGGAUAGGAGCUUUUGCUGCAUGGUGGGGGUUGGAAAGUUUCGGCUGUGCUGGAUGGAAUCGCAGCUUAUGCGCUGGAUGGUGAGGUAGUGGAUUACCAAGGCUUCGACGGGUAGCCGGCCUGGGAGCGUGACCGGGCUCAUUGGGACUGAGGUACGACCCAGUCUCCUACGGGAGGCAGCAGGGGAAAGUAUUGCGCAAUAGGCGGAAGCCUGAUGCAGCAGCGCCCGGUGCGUGAUAACGGGCUACUGGGGAUAAACCGCUUUCGCCUGUAACGAGGCGUUAGUGACGGUAAUUAAUAAGAAAGCACCGGCUAACUACGUG